AAUAUAAUUUGUAAAUGCCACAAUAAGGUACUAUUAUAUGCUUAGCACUUGAAGAUAAUAAAUUAAUUAUAAAGCUUAUGUUGAUUUUUUCCUAUUUCGAUAAAUAUGAAAAAUUGAUAAAUUUGGAGAAUCUUCAGAAGGAUUUUUGAAAAUAGUUUUGAUAAGAUAUUUUUGAAGAAAAGUCUUACAGCUACACACUGUACACUGGCAUGAGUCAUGUGCAACCCAGAGAUUUCUUUUUGUCUGACACACCUAUGUUGUUGGCCCAUAGUUCAUUUAAUGAACAGGCAAUUCAACUACAGACAUGAAUAUAGGAUUUGAUUAUCUU
Molecule: long non-coding RNA, 328 nt
Organism: Perognathus longimembris pacificus (Pacific pocket mouse)
Lineage: Eukaryota; Metazoa; Chordata; Mammalia; Rodentia; Heteromyidae
Exons: 2
Source: RefSeq, a predicted model, not a curated record